UGGAGCAAUCCAUGAGUAGAGUGGCAAACGGGUGAGUAACACGUGGGUGACCUGCCUUCGAGCGGGGGAUAACGUCCCGAAAGGGACGCUAAUACCGCAUAACAUCCUGCCUUUGAAGAGGUGGAGAUCAAAGCUGGCGCAAGCUAGCACUCGAAGAGGGGCCCGCGUCCGAUUAGCUAGUUGGUGAGGUAACGGCUCACCAAGGCAACGAUCGGUAGCCGGCCUGAGAGGGCGGACGGCCACACUGGGACUGAGACACGGCCCAGACUCCUACGGGAGGCAGCAGUGGGGAAUUGUUCGCAAUGGGCGCAAGCCUGACGACGCAACGCCGCGUGGAGGAUGAAGAUCUUCGGGUCGUAAACUCCUUUCGAUCGAGACGAACGACUCCCGUUCUAAUCAGCGGGAGAGUGACGGUACCGAGAGAAGAAGCCCCGGCUAACUCCGUGCCAGCAGCCGCGGUAAUACGGGGGGGGCAAGCGUUGCUCGGAAUUACUGGGCGUAAAGGGCUCGUAGGCGGCCAACUAAGUCAGACGUGAAAUCCCUCGGCUUAACCGGGGAACUGCGUCUGAUACUGGAUGGCUCGAGUUUGGGAGAGGGAUGCGGAAUUCCAGGUGUAGCGGUGAAAUGCGUAGAUAUCUGGAGGAACACCGGUGGCGAAGGCGGCAUCCUGGACCAACACUGACGCUGAGGAGCGAAAGCCAGGGGAGCAAACGGGAUUAGAUACCCCGGUAGUCCUGGCCCUAAACGAUGAAUGCUUGGUGUGGCGGGUAUCGAUCCCUGCCGUGCCGAAGCUAACGCAUU
Molecule: ribosomal RNA, 801 nt
Filed under: uncultured Pseudomonadota bacterium
Lineage: Bacteria; Pseudomonadati; Pseudomonadota
Description: bacterial SSU rRNA
Rfam family: Bacterial small subunit ribosomal RNA
Source: RNAcentral